Long non-coding RNA from Salvia splendens (bonfire salvia), 2050 nucleotides. RefSeq lists it as uncharacterized. NCBI's taxonomy places the organism in Eukaryota, Viridiplantae, Streptophyta, Magnoliopsida, Lamiales, Lamiaceae. The transcript has 2 exons. The record is from RefSeq and is a predicted model, not a curated record.
AUUAAUUAAAUAAUUUUGUCACGAUUAAAUAUCGGCCCAAAGAUUUAUUUAAAAGCCCAAGACUUAAUUAUUUACCUCACCUCUUACUUCUCAUUUAAUUUAAAAGCCCCAAUUAAAAUAAAAGGCCCCAAACUUAAAUAAAACCUCCAUUUUCAAAAGAAUUUGUGAGGCCCAAACAAAAGCCUAACAACAACAAAAGACAAAAGCCUCAUUCUUAACACCAUCUUAUCUCCAUCUCUUUCUCCCUCUCUCUCACUACCGAUUUCAUCUUCUUCCCCAUUCUUCUCUCCCCUUUUUUUUGAAAUCCGUCGCCCUCUCUUCUUCUUCCGUCUGAGUCACCGGCCGCCUCCGUUGCUGCUGGAGUCGCCGGUGCUGCUGCCCCGGGAAGGUGCCGCUGCUGUUGGAGUCACCGGGGGGGUGGGGCUGCUGUCGCGCUGCGCUGCUGCUGCCACGGGGGAGGAAAGUUACUGCUGUGCGCCGCCGGAGGAGCUGCUGCUCGCGGCCAGCCGUCGCUGUCAGCAGCGUCCAGCCACCGCUGCCGUCAAUCCACAGAACCGUCGCCAUCGCUGUCGGCUUCUCCGCCGGUUCGCGCAGUUGUCCGAACUCGCCCCGAACAGCUCUGAAACGACACCGCACAGCCACGAAACCAACCCGAAAUUCUUGAUUUUAAACUUGCAGAUAAGUUCUUACUUGUUUUGGUGAAGUUAAAGUUCGUUUCUUUUAAUUGAGUUUCCCGAGUUACUAGUUUGAUUUAGUUACCGUUGCCGUACAUUGCGUUGGUUACAUGAUAUGCAACGAAUGUGACUGAAAUUGAGGAAACAAGGGAUCAUAUACCUUGAACGGAUUUUGAGCAAAUUCUGAGCGAAUGAACGGUAGUUUCCCCUUGUCGAGUUGGGUUCUCGGUUUCUUGAAUUAAGGUUGAGAGGAAAAACCUUGUCUUCUUCAUUGCAGAGAUAGAGAGAACGGUUUUUGGAAAAGAAAUAAUAUAGAGGGAAGGGUGGGAGAUAUUUAGGGAGUAGAGAGAGAGAUUUGCAUAAAAGUACAUAUACAUAUAAAUAUAAGAUGGCAAGUGGCGUGUACAUAUGCAUAAAAAAAAUGGCAAGUGGCUAAGCUUAUUAAUUACGCAUAUCUUUUUAAGAUAUUGUAUUAAUGACACAUAUCUUUUUAAGAUGUUGUAUUAAUGACGCAUAUCUUUUUACGAUUUUGUAUUAAUGACGCAUAUCUUUUUAAUAUCUUUACGAGAUCUCAAUGAUCCAAUUUGUUUUGUAAUGUUGGACAUUUGUGAAACGGGCACUACAACUUUUCUUCCAAUUUAUUCUUUGAUAGUCAUUGGAAAUAAUUGCUAAACAUAAAAAAAAAACAACAUUUAUAGGAUGUCUUGUCUAAAUUUUCUUAGACUCGUCAUCAUAUACCUUAAAAUCUUAGGUGGCACUUUGAAAUGUCACAACAUUAGUAGCAACGUGCUUUUAUUUGAUCUUGUAAAAUCCCCUUAUAAAAUUUUGGGUUGUUACACCUACACCCUGUAACUGUUUUUGGCUUAUUGUGAGAUCUAGUACCGAUCUCAUUUAUGAAUUUUCAUCCCUUGUUGCAGGUGCGCUCAGGAGCAGGUAUUGGGUGGCUGAUUUCUGGACAAUAGCAGGUCUGAAUGGAGGUGGUACGGGCUGCUCAUUGAUGGAGUGAAAGGUUGGCUGGAAUUUGCUUCUUUAGCUCAAGCAAUUUCUCCAUUUUUCAAAAGGACCGAGAGGCUGGCUCCACGUGGUUCAUCCCCUAAUCUCCCAGUCCGUCGGACCCCUCUUGAUCUGGGCCGAGACCGCUCGCGCUGAGGGUCGAGGAAGUUCUCUAGGAACUCUCGGUUGUGGUAGUUCACUUUGAACUCUCCUUUGUUCUUUUCUCUUUUCUUUGUUUCAACACAUGUAUUAUUAACUAGUUGUCAGAUCUCGUUUCAUGUAUUAUCAUCGUCGAAGAUUGUAAUUUAUUAGUGUGAAAUUCUGGAAAUUGUAUUUGUACUCUUUUUUAAGAAAUAAAAAUACUCAUGCAUUCUUUAAUAAAA